GGAAGAACCGUGGCUCAGAGGGCAGAGCAUCUGCCUUGCAACCAGAAGAUCACAGGUUCAAUUCCUGGCUUUUCCA
Podarcis lilfordi (Lilford's wall lizard) is the source of this 76-nucleotide non-coding RNA. Lineage: Eukaryota; Metazoa; Chordata; Lepidosauria; Squamata; Lacertidae. The record is from the annotation of a GenBank genome assembly.